UACAUGUGUAUAGUAAUAUUUAUAAAUAGGCAUAUUUAUAUUUUUAUAUGGGGAUUUAGUUACAUAGAUUGAUAUCUGUAUAGGUACAGGCCUCUUUUUAACCUGUUUCUCUGCUCUGCUUCCUCCCUCACUUCUUGCUUUUCCCCCUGUGCCCCCUCUGUCCCCUCUCCCUGUGCUGGGUCCGAGCUGGCGGCCGGGCUGGGCGGAGCAGCAGUUCCAGCCCCGGGUGUCCCUGGAGCGGUGGGAGCUGGCGCUGGCCCCAGGCACUGUCCCCUGAGGAGCUGCUGAAGGACGCUGCAAUGAGGACCUUGAGGACAGGCGGAGACUGACGGGAGCCAGCAGGGAGAAGCUGAAGGCCAGCAGCAGAGGCAGUGAACGGGGACCUGCUGCUGCCAGCCUGGAGAGAGCCCGGAUGUCCCAUCUGCUGUCCCUGUCCAGGAGAGCUGCUCUGCACGGGAGGAAGAGACCGAGGGAGAGGCUUUGAAGACGGGGAAGCUGGGAUCCCUCUGCUUAGAAUUUUGUUUAAAGAUACGCGGACUUGUACAUGGACAGGGAUUAUUAUAUGGAUAUGUGCAUUUGUAGCCUGCUAUUUGUACAGGCCUAUUUCUAUAUGUCAUUGUAUUUAUGGAUGUAUGCUAUAUGUAUGUGCAAUUAUAUAUUUUUUUUUUUUUUUUAAUUACAUAUAUGUGUAUAUAUAUGUAUUCUGUGCCUUCAAGACUUGCUCUGAAGAGCGAAUGUUUUGUUUUGGUUUUGUUAACAGCCUGUUCCCCCACGGCUGGUGGGUCAUGGAGACGGGGCAGUACAUAAUGCGGCUUUUGCUUUUUGCUUGGCUUUUUGCUUUGCUCUUGCUACUGCUUCGGCUUUGCUCCUGCUUUGUUCUUGCUUUUUGCUUCUACUCAUUAGUUAGUGUAGCUAAGCAGUCCAAAUUUUUCCCUGGACUGUUUUUCCUUUCCCUUUUUUGGAACUACUCAAACCUGCUCUGGACUGGGACCUGGGAAACAUUCGAGAGUUUGUACCUUGUGGUCUGCAGCAGCUAUCCCCAGGGCCAGAGGGACUGAUAACAGAGCAACGACUCCCAGGAGAGACUUUCUGAAUUUGUCAUCUUUUUCAGAGCAGUGAGAGAGUCUUGUCAUCCAGUAUUGUUCAUUUUGUGUGCUUUGGGGUGUUUUGGCUGUUAAAUAUACACAUUCUUUCCAUUUCUCUCGGAGGAAUCCUUCCCGAAACAGUUGGGGGGAGGGGUCCCCUUUUGGAGUUUUCUCCCAAAUUUUCCUUAAACCAGGACACCUGUGUAUACAGUUUUGUUGCUGUCUAUGUCUAUUGACGCAGUCAUGGCUCUUUAAAUAGGUAUUUUAGUAUUUGUAUUGGUAGAUAGAUGUACUUUUUUACUUUUAUAUGUAUAUUGAUCCAUUUCUGUGUAUAAUUAUUUUUACAUAUAUAUUCAGAUGUAUAGCUCAGAUGUGUAUUUGUAUUGAUGCAGUUGGUUGUAUAUUUAGAUUGGUACAGUGAUAUCUGUAUAUUUAGAGAUAAAUUUGUUGUAUAUAUCUGUUAUUUAUAUAGUACAUAAUAUGUAAUAUUUAAUCUAUAUUUACUUCUAUUUAUUGCUGUAUAUGUAUUUAUAUAUGUGUGUAUAUAUGUAUUUAGUUCUGUAUAAUUGUAUAAUUCUAUCAAUAGAGUUCUUGGUACAGGAUUACUUAAGAGAGGGGAUCCAUCUUUUUGUAUUUCUAUAUGGUCUGUACACUUGUAGUAACAUGUAAUAAUUUGUUAAACACCUAACUGAUCUUUUUGCAUAGUGAGGUGUUGCAGAGAUUUGCAGUAAAUUAGGUUUUGUUAACUGAAGUUGCUAUUUCUAUAUUUUUACAUAGACCGGUUGUACUAAUAAAUUUCCUGGGUUUAACCUUGAGAUUUGUAUAGUUGUGUAUUGUCAGCACGGGUGUAGCAAAUUGUAAUAAAUGACAUUUUUUGUCUGAAAUUGAUUCUCGUAUAUUUGUUGAUUAGCAGUGCGUCUGUAGCAAUCUGCAAGAAAUGCCAUUUGUCAGCUGCGAUGGGUGUUCUGUGAUUUGUGCUACCGAAAGCCAUUAGCAGAUGUAAAUGCUGGAGGAUUUUGGGCAUGAACAUCUCUGGCCAUGGCCAGCACAUGCCCCACCUGCACUCAGGCUGGGCAAGGGCAGCGCAGAU
Motacilla alba alba is the source of this 2175-nucleotide long non-coding RNA. RefSeq lists it as uncharacterized. The record is from RefSeq and is a predicted model, not a curated record. NCBI's taxonomy places the organism in Eukaryota, Metazoa, Chordata, Aves, Passeriformes, Motacillidae. The transcript is spliced from 3 exons.